Molecule: long non-coding RNA, 3085 nt
Organism: Cyprinus carpio carpio
Lineage: Eukaryota; Metazoa; Chordata; Actinopteri; Cypriniformes; Cyprinidae
Source: Ensembl
UGACAAACUAUUUUGUAGAAUAUUUAUUUUCAAAUCAUUCUAUGUAAAAAUUAAAUAAUUAAUUGACAAAAAAUAAAUAAAUAAAUAUGCCCCCAAAACUGUAGCUGUAAGACUUUACAGCUGUUUUUCUCUUUCUAUAGCCUAACAGAAGGGGGGAAAAACACAGCAACACAACAUACUAAUUCUUGGAACCCAAAGCGAGCAGUAGAUCUUUAUCUGAAACUGUGGUUAGACUCUGCCUCCAGUGCGAAUAUGCUGUUGAAACUGUGGUUUAGACAUACUCACAUGAAACUUCUCUUUUAUCAAGACAUUUUAUUAUUUAAUAUAUUUUUGAAAAAUCAUUUUACAUGCAAAGAUCAGAGCCUCAGUAGUUAAGUCAAAUAGUUAUCAGUUACACAAUUAGAGAAUAUAAAAGUCUUAAACAAUGCAUUACUGUAUUAUAAAAAAAAUUAAAAUUAACUUGCACUUGUCUGCAAAUAAAGCUGAAAAUACACACACCAUAGCAAAGCAAUACGCACAUUAUACAACUGAAUUCAGAAAUGUUUCUAAAAGUUUGCAAUAAAAGUUUUAUGGAUAUUCUUUAUAUUUGAAAUACAUUGCUAAAAAUUUGUAUUUUUCAUUCCAUGUAAUAUUGUAAGUCAGAAUAUACACUACCAGUCAAAAGUUUGGGAUCAGUAAGACUUGUAAUUUUUUAAAAGAAGUCUCUUAUGCUUAUCAAAGCUGCAUUUAUUUGAUCAAAAAUACAGAAAGAAAAAAAAACAGUAAUCUUUCAAAAUGUUAUUACAAUGUAAAAUAAUGGUUUCUAUUUUAAUAUCUCUUAAAAUAGAAUUUAUUUCUGUGAGGCAAAGCUGAAUUUCCAUCAGACAUUACUCCAUUAUAAAGUGUGACAUGAUCCUUAAGACAUCUUUAUUAUAUUAUGAUUUACUAUAAGAAUUAUCAAUGUUGGCUACAGUUGUGCUGUCAAAUAUUUUUUUGGAAACGGCUAUACUUUUUUCAGGAUUCUGUGAUGAAUAAAAAGUUAAAAAGAACAGCAUUUAUUCAAAAUAAAAAAAUUCUAACAAUAUAAAUAUUUGCUAUCACUUCUUUACAAUUUCACAUAUCCUUACUGAAUAAAAGCUUUAAUUUCUAUCAAAAAAAGAAAGAAUAAAAAUGUACAGACUCCAAACUUUUAAAUUGUAGUGUAUAUUGUUAGAAAAGAUUUCUGUUUUAAAUAAAUGCUCUUCUUUUUAACUUUUUAUUCAUCAAGGAAUCCUGAAAAAAAUAUUAAGCAGCACAACAGUUUCCAGCAUUGAUAAUAAAUCGGCAUAUUAGAAUGAUUUCUGAAGGAUCAUGUGACACUGAAGACUGGAGUAAUGAUGCUGAAAAUUCAGUUUUGCAUCACAGAAAUAAAUUAUAUUUUAAUGUAUAUUAAAAUAGAAAAAUUGUAUUUUACAUCAUAAUAAUAUUUCACAAUAUUAAAUGUUUCCUAUAUUUUUGAUCAAAUAAAUGCAGCCUUGAUGAGCAAAGUUACAAUUUUUGAUUAUUCCAAUGAUUUGGCUGAACUGAACUUUUAAAAUAUGAAUGCCUUCACAGUCAUCAAUGCAUUAACUGCGACACAUUUAGCAAGCAGAAUUCUCAGACCUGUCACAAGAAGAUUCAUGGAGUUCAUUUUUGGAUCACCUGAAAAACAAAUAUAUAUAUAUAUAUAUAUAUAUAUAUAUAUAUAUAUAUAUAUAUAUAUAAACAAAUCAAUAAUCCUUUGAUAUUAAAUGAAUUUAAAUCUUGUAAAUCAUAGCAUAAUGUAGAUAAAUUCACAAAUGCAAGAUAUACAUAUAGAAUAUCUUGUGUAUUUUAUUACUAACCAGUGUUUAUGAACUCUAAGGCAUCAGCACUAAGACUAGUUGGACAAGUCUGUUGAGUCACACUUUCGGGGAUUUCUGCAGAAUAAAUAUUAAGAAAAACAAAACAAAUAAUUCUUUAUAUAUACUUUAUAUGUACAAUACUUAAAAAAAGAAAGAAAUAUCGUUAAAAAAAUGUAAAAAGAAACAAUAAUUAUCCAUUUAAGUACAAACCUGUCGUGUCAGCAGUGUCAAGAGUUUUGUCUGCUGUUUGUCCAUCCAUUUCGCAUGUUUGCACUUUAUCAUCUUUACUGAAUCCAGCAUAAUAAUAGGUUUUGGUCGAUUUAAACAAGGGUGCUUCUCUGGUUGUAAGGCUCACAGGGUCAUUACCUUCCACAGUCAAAGUCAUAGUCUUUUCUUCAGGAAAGAACCCGGCGGCCAGACAAAUAUCCCGUCCAUCGCCCUUCAAAGGGGACAAGAUGGACAGAAAUGGAGGAGUUGCCGGUACAUCUUCUGAACAAAGAAAAAGAAGCAGUUUUCAUCAGAAUUUCAAUCCUUUGGUAAGAACGUACUUUCUACACAUGUGGCAGUUGCAAAACUAUGCUCAUGAUGUCAGUGAAAAAGUCUUGCAAUCAUCUAUUCAUGCACAAAACAUCUAUAGUCUUACGAACAAAUGCAAUUACUCUACUAGAAAUGUUUGCUUUUGAGCAACAUCCCAAGUCUACAAACACACUGUGAUCAGAAGCAGAAUGCAACACAGCAGCACAAACAACUAACCAACUGUUUCAAGCUAUUUUGAGGGGUUUUUCACUAUUUUCUACAGCACAUGUGUUGGUGUAAAUGCUUGUACCAGUUAAAAAAAGUACUUACUUGGUACGACCUUGAGGGUUAUCGGCUUUCCGAAUGUUAAGGUGUCAGUAGCUGAAACUGCACCGCUACUGUAACCCUUACAAAAAUGCUCCUGACCCUACAUCAGCAUUAGGACUGACAAACUGACCUAACUGAGCCCUGCCAACUACAACUAACUGACCAAAGUUCAUGUUUUCACAAAAUCAGGUGUUUGGUUUGGAAAACUGCAUUCUAAUAACAUUGAAAUUGGAUUUACUUACUUGGUUUGACCGUGAGACGGAUAGGAUUCCCAAAAGUUAGUGGAUUGACUCAACGUGGCUCCCACUACACACUGAAAUAUUCUGUGGCAAAAACGGUUCAAUAGAACUUACAUUAAGGAACGAGAUGAUAAGGCAGCUGGUGUGUGUGGUAAGAUGGUC